This 2284-nucleotide long non-coding RNA is filed under the name Canis lupus familiaris (dog). Its description in RNAcentral is "lncRNA (ENSCAFG00845025555.1)". The record is from RNAcentral. Lineage: Eukaryota; Metazoa; Chordata; Mammalia; Carnivora; Canidae.
UUUUUUUUUUUUUUUUUUUUUAGAGAUGACAAGUUUUAAUGACACAGCCAACACUCACAAUCACAGUUGGCUCUUCAGACAACUUGAUCUUUGGGGCAAGAUUUUGUGUAGAGUCAAGCAAUACACAAAAGCACAUGAGCAAGAGAGGCAGCAUUCCGGCUUCUAGUGAGGGAGCGAGAUAUCUAGGUCUCAUGAUCAAAGUCCUUUUUUUUUUUUUUGAUUGUUACAUAUAUAUUUUUUAAUUUUAAUACAGAGUCAGAUUUCAGAAGCUGUACAGAGGAGAGCCAAAAACACUUUAAACAUUCAUGAUUAGCUUUAGUAUUUUUUACGGUACAUACUGAAAAUGUUAUCAUUUACUAGUAAGGAAUGCCAAGUGUGUCCAUCACCAUUUGAAUAGCUUGUAGGGGAUUUGUGAUUUCUUCCAUGUCAUCUCUUCUCCAAACCCAAUCCGGUUUAAGUCUUGAAACUAUUCUGGUUCUUACAGGUGUUUCUGGAAUAAAGGGAGUACUUAUAGUAGAAUUCAUCUUUUGUUUAUAAAGUGUUCUUUCAGUAUUCAUUUUAUGUUUACGAGCUGUAAGCUUGUAGAGACUAUAAAUACGGUCAACAACUUUGGACUUACUUCGAACACUAGAGGCCCUAUUCGUUGUCUUCAAUAAAACAGCUAACAAACAACAGGUUUUUGUAAAAAUGCUUCCACCCUUGUCUGUAACUUUGUCAGCAGGUUUUUCUCAGUACAUCUGCAAAAGGUCCAGCAGUGUAUCUAUGCAGUGGAGUCUUUUGGGUUUUCUAUGUACAGGAUCAUGUCAUCUGCAAAGAGAGAGAGUUUGACUUCCUCUUUGCCAAUUUGAAUGCCUUUUAUUUCUUUUUGUUGUCUGAUUGCUGAGGCAAGGACUUCUAGUACUAUGUUGAAUAGCAGUGGUGAGAGUAGACAUUCCUGUCGUGUUCCUGAUCUUAGGGGAAAGGCUCCCAGUACUUCCCCAUUGAGAAUGAUAUUUGCUGUGGCCUUUUCGUAGAUGGCUUUUAAGAUGCUGAGGAAUGUUCCCUCUAUCCCUAUACUCUGAAGAGUUUUGAUCAGGAAUGGACGCUGUAUUUUGUCAAAUGCUUUCUCUGCAUCUAUUGAGAGGAUCAUAUGGUUCUUGUUUUUUCUCUUGUUGAUGUGAUCUAUCACGAUUGUUUUACGAGUGUUGAACCAGCCUUGCAACCCGGGGAUAAAUCCCACUUGGUCCUGGUGAAUAAUCUUCUUAAUGUACUAUUGGAUCCUAUUGGCUAGUAUCUUGUUGAGAAUUUUUGCAUCAGUAUUCAUCAGGGAUAUUGGUCUAUAACUCUCCUUUUUGGUGGGGUCUUUGUCUGGUUUUGGAAUUAAGGUGAUGCUGGCCUCAUAAAACAAGUUUGGAAGUAUUCCAUCCCUCACAAAGGGACUUUUUAUACACUACUGGUGAGAGUAUAAAUUAAUAUAGCUACUUUGGAAAGCAAUUUAUCAUUAUCCAGCAAAGUGUAAAUCCACAUAUCCUAUGACCCAUCAAUUUCUACUCCAAAGAUUAUAUGCUACAGAAAAUUUUGCAUCUGUUUAUCACGAAACACAUAUAAACAUAUUUUGGGGAUGCUUGAGUGGCUCAGUCAGUUAAGCUACAGAUUCUUGAUUUUGGCUCAGGUCAAGCCCUGCAUUGAGUUCCACACUGGGCAUGGAGCCUGCUUAAGAUUCUCUCUCUCUCUUCCUCUGUCCCUCCUCUGCCCACACUCUCACUCUUGCUCUCUCUUUCUCUCUCUCUCUCUCUAGAAAAGAAAGAAAAGAAAAAGAAAGAAAGAAAGAAAGAAAGAAAGAAAGAAAGAAAGAAAGAAAGAAAGAAACCAACCAUAUUUGGAACAUCAUUGUUUUCCCCAGCAAAGAAAAACUCAAAACAACUCAAUUUUUUGAGAAGAGAAGAAAUGAGUGAACUAUAGCUACAUGCAUCAACAUGAAUAAGUGUAAUACAAAAAGUGAACAAAGCAAGUCUCAGAAUAUAUACAUUUCUUUUUUCAAAAAUGUCAAAAACAUAUAAAUCUAAGCAAAAUUUUAUUCGAAAACAUAUAAGGGAAGCUGUAAAGAAAUGUAAGGAGGGAUCCCUGGGUGGCGCAGCGGUUUAGCGCCUGCCUUUGGCCCAGGGUGCGAUCCUGGACCGGGAUCGAAUCCCACGUCAGGAUCCCGGUGCGUGGAGCCUGCUUCUCCCUCUGCCUAUGUCUCUGCCUCUCUCUCUCUCUCUUUGUGACUAUCAUAAAUAAAUUUAAAAAAAGAAAGAAAAAAAAA